Centruroides sculpturatus (bark scorpion) is the source of this 1900-nucleotide long non-coding RNA. RefSeq lists it as uncharacterized. The transcript has 5 exons. Lineage: Eukaryota; Metazoa; Arthropoda; Arachnida; Scorpiones; Buthidae. The record is from RefSeq and is a predicted model, not a curated record.
UAUAUCGAAUUCAAUGUAUUAUUUGCUAACAAUUUCGUGCCACAAUUCUUUCUUGGAGAUUUACUUCCUAAUUGUAGAAAUCCCGAUAAUGCAGAAUAAAAGGCGCUCAAUAUCUAUACGAAGCAGUAGUGUUAUAAUUAACAAAUCGCAGACAAUGUUUUAAAGACCUACUCUGAUGACGAAUUGCUUCUUAACGUAGAAAAAUCCUCCAAUAGAUAAACCAAUUGGACGUCUUCCGAAUCUUUUCAUGAAAUUCAACAUCUGCAGAAGAGAAAAAGAAUUUAUCAUUUCACAUUCUUAAACAGAACUGAAGAGUUGGAGGAACUUUUUUAUUCUCACUUUCAACUUGUCUUGUAAUGAACAUUCGACCGAAGAAAACACGUUGAUUCCUUCAAAGUUUCCGUAAAGCUCAAUCAAGCGAGACGUAAUAUAAGCCACGAACACUGAAACUAAAAUAAAAAGUACGCUUGUUAAUAACAUGUGAAGUUUCCAAGAUACGUCAGUAGAUAUCGCUGUAUAUAUAGAAAAGGAUGUCGUGUAAAUAAUGAAACUGUAUAAAAGAGGAAAAGGGAUUUCCAAAAUGUCAUUUAUGUGAUAAAAACAAUGUAAAAUAUCCGUAUGUUUCGGUAUUACUUCAUACAGUAUAACAGUUACUCGUGUACGACGUUCGGUGAUGCGACUAACAAUUUCGCAUAGAGCCGGAUAAAGAAACAUUUCAAAGAAUGUACAAAAUAUUAAUGACGACAUUACCAGCCCGCUGCAGAAUAUUAUCCCUAUUAAUUCAAUUUGCCGCAACAGAGUGACUUCUCCAGCGUAAGUACUCAUCCUGUACGAGAAAUUAAUUUUUCUUCUUUUGAAAAUACUAAACUGUACAGCGGAAUGUGCAUAAAAUAACAUAAAUAGGCAUCUAAGUUGAACGAAUUCGUCUCCGAACAGAAUUAUCCAAUCUCGACAUAUAACAUCUCUUUUCAGAACAUCGAACGUGAAUCUUAUAAUAGCGAGUAACCAGAGUAAUUCUAUUAUAUUCAAGUAAACUUUAUAGGAUUUACAGAAAAGGUUCUCGAGUCUUCGUCCAUAAACGGCUCUAUCUUUAUAACAGUUACAGUUGGAUAUAAUAUUAAAUCCGAGUACUUUAUAGGACUGUAUGAAGGGAAAGAUCAGACAUACAGGACAGCCGUUAUAUAACCGAUUAUCCAUUUCUAAUUAGAGAAAGUCUUAAUAAAAUACAGCUUAAUGUUCGUAUAUUCGGCGACCGAGGAAGUAAUUUUAAAGAUGGCAAUGCACGAAGAUGCUGUUUGCCACGAAUCUCAAUUAAGUCUAUCGAGAGAAUGCGGAAUAUUCUUAGUUUUAAUGGGAAACGAAUCGAUUUAAUUUCGAAAUUAAUUGAAAAAUUCGAAAAACGUCACGAAUUUUAUCAUAAAGCUUACGAAGUUAUCCUUUCGGAGAAAAAUUUGCAGAUUUGUCCCGUUCCCAUAAAGGAAUGGCUUCGGACGUAACAAAUGUUAAACGCAAUCAACCAGGCAGUGGUAGACCUAAAUUUUGAGGCUCUUGUAAAACAUUUCUUGCAUCUAUGUAAAAUGAAAAUGAAAUGAAUGAGUGAUUUUGUUAUAAAGAGUAAAGGAAUCGGUGUAAUGAGAGAUGUUAUAAAGAAAAUUAUAGAUGGAACAGAAAACACGAAGGAGAAGGCUAUCAGAAUUGUAUGAUAUUAAAGACGGUGUGAGAUUUUUGGAGCAAAAAGCUAAGACGAGAGAUAGCGAGCGACGGAGAAGAGAAUAGAGUUAUAUUCCAAGGAGUUUUCACGACAACGAAACACUAGGGAGAAAGAGAAUUAGUGUACUUCAUACUCGGAUUAUGUUUUUAAUACUUCUUUUAUACGACAAUCCUCGAUAAUAAUUUAGUC